AUUUUAAAAAAUAAAAACAUUAAUUGAAACAAUACAGAGAUCAGCACUGCCCCUGUGCCAGGAUAACACAAAAUUUUGUAAAGUGUUCCAUAUAGGU
RNAcentral lists this small nuclear RNA (97 nucleotides) under Neotoma lepida (desert woodrat). Lineage: Eukaryota; Metazoa; Chordata; Mammalia; Rodentia; Cricetidae. The record is from RNAcentral.